AGUGAACGCUGGCGGUGGGCCUAACACAUGCCAGUCGAACGGCAGCACAGUAAGAGCUUGCUCUUACGGGUGGCGAGUGGCGUACGGGUGAGGAAUACAUCGGACUCUACUUUUUCGUGGGGGCUAACGUAGGGAAACUUACGCUAAUACCGCAUACGACCUACGGGUGAAAGCAGGUGAUCUUCGUACCUUGCGCGAUUGAAUGAGCCGAUGUCGGAUUUGCUAGUUGGCGGGGUAAAGGCCCACCAAGGCGACGAUCCGUAGCUGGUCUGAGAGGAUGAUAAGCCACACUGGAACUGGGACACGGUCCAGACGACUACGGGAGGCAGCAGUGGGGAAUAUUGGACAGUGGGCGCAAGCCUGAUCCAGCCAGACCGCGUGGGUGAAGAAGGCCUUCGGGUUGGAAAGCCCUUUUGUUGGGAAAGAAAAGCAGCAGGUUAAUAACAAGCUGUUCUGACGGUACCCAAAGAAUAAGCAUCGGCUAACUUCGUG
RNAcentral lists this ribosomal RNA (492 nucleotides) under uncultured bacterium. RNAcentral describes it as "partial 16S ribosomal RNA". It matches the Rfam family "Bacterial small subunit ribosomal RNA", at positions 29 to 507 of the family's 1533-position model. The record is from RNAcentral.